CUUUCCUCUAAAACAUUAAGAGCAUGAGGACAGAGAUGAAUUAGAUAUAGCUGUGUAGUAUUCAUAACUGUAUGUAACCAGAGGGUUUUUUGCAGGGUUAUGUUUUAUUAAGUAUAAGGGAAAUGCCUGAAUUCUUAACCUAAAAUAUCAAAAUAAAGGUGUCUAAUGUGUGUAAUUAGCUCUGUUGGGUUUCUGUACUCUCCACUUUACUGUCUCCUAACUCAGAUUCAGUAAAGGUUUUUAGUUGUUCAGAUCUGCAAACUCCAUCUAGUUUUACUACAUGACUUCUUAACCUUAACAACUGAGACUUGACAUGAAGCCCCAUUAAAGAAUGACUUAACACUUAAUCCACUCGUGUACAGUCCCUUUAUUUUGCUAUUAAGUGAUCCUGAGCCCACCCUAUAGUGUUCAUUACAGCAGAAGUAAUUUUUAUUUUUCCAAGAAAAUCCAGUAAUUCUGUCCUCUAGAUGGGGCAAGCAGGCAGGCAGAGAACAAAAGUGGGUGAGGACGUGAGACACAGGGAAAACACAGGUUAGUAUGGAUACGAAAAGUAGAGCAUAACAAACAGUAGACUUGGCUGUAGCGUCUGUACCACAUAGGCAAACUGAACAAUCUGACGAAGAGUGGAGAGGAGAGCUGGGGUUUUAUACAGCAGGAGCUUAAUGACUGGAUGAGUCGUAGGUGUGCAGCUUUGUCAAGGCAAUGGUGGCAUAUUAUUAUCCAUCUGACAGUGAAGUGUCUGCAGAUUCAGAGCUCCAGGAAUGGGUCAAUGAGAUCUUCUACUAUGGAUUUCUGGGAAAUGGUGACUCAGGGUUGCGAGAGAAGUACACACUGACUGGGGCGCCUUGUAUCACAGGGCUGAGACACAUUCGCUUACAUUCACACCUAUGGGUAGAGAAGGAAUGCAUUAAA
Siniperca chuatsi (mandarin fish) is the source of this 912-nucleotide long non-coding RNA. RefSeq lists it as uncharacterized. NCBI's taxonomy places the organism in Eukaryota, Metazoa, Chordata, Actinopteri, Centrarchiformes, Sinipercidae. The record is from RefSeq and is a predicted model, not a curated record. The transcript is spliced from 3 exons.